GAUGAACGCUGGCGGCGUGCCUAAUACAUGCAAGUCGAGCGAACAGACGGGGAGCUUGCUCCUCUGACGUUAUCGGCGGACGGGUGAGUAACACGGGGAUAGCCUACCUAUAAGACUGGGAUAACUUCGGGAAACCGGAGCUAAUACCGGAUAAUAUAUUGAACCGCAUGGUUCAAUAGUUAAAGACGGUUUUUCUGUCACUAAUAGAUGGAUCAGCGUCCCAUUCGCUAGUUGGUAAGGUAACGGCUUACCAAGGCGACGAUGCGUAGCCGACCUGAGAGCGUGAUCCGCCACACUGGAUGUGAGGAACGGCCGCGACACCGACGGGAGGCCGCAGUCGGGACUCCUACGCAAUGCGGCAGUGGGUAAUAUAGGACCGUCGCGUAAGUGCUGAAGGUGCUAGGCUGGUUAAGUUCUGUAAUCAGGGGAGAACAAAUGCGUAAGUACCCAUGAUCAUAUUGACGGUACCUAAUGAAUAAGCCCCGGCUAACUCCGUG
This 497-nucleotide ribosomal RNA is filed under the name uncultured bacterium. Its description in RNAcentral is "partial 16S ribosomal RNA". It matches the Rfam family "Bacterial small subunit ribosomal RNA", at positions 28 to 507 of the family's 1533-position model. The record is from RNAcentral.